UACGAAGGGGGCUAGCGUUGCUCGGAAUCACUGGGCGUAAAGCGCACGUAGGCGGAUCUUUAAGUCAGGGGUGAAAUCCCAAGGCUCAACCUUGGAACUGCCUUUGAUACUGGGGAUCUCGAGUCCGGAAGAGGUGAGUGGAACUGCGAGUGUAGAGGUGAAAUUCGUAGAUAUUCGCAAGAACACCAGUGGCGAAGGCGGCUCACUGGUCCGGUACUGACGCUGAACAGCGAAAGCUAGGGGAGCAAACGGG
Molecule: ribosomal RNA, 253 nt
Filed under: uncultured bacterium
Lineage: Bacteria
Description: partial 16S ribosomal RNA
Rfam family: Bacterial small subunit ribosomal RNA
Source: RNAcentral